Molecule: small nuclear RNA, 105 nt
Organism: Myotis lucifugus (little brown bat)
Lineage: Eukaryota; Metazoa; Chordata; Mammalia; Chiroptera; Vespertilionidae
Source: Ensembl
GUGCUCGCUUCGGCAGCACGUAUACUAACAUUGGGACGACAGAGAAGAUCAGCAUGGCCCCUGUGCAAGGAUGACACGCAAAUUCGUGAAGUGUUCCAUAUUUUU